GAUGAACGCUGGCGGCGUGCCUAAUACAUGCAAGUCGAACGCUGGAAAUCUAGCUUGCUAGAUUGAAGGAGUGGCGAACGGGUGAGUAAUACAUAAGCAACCUACCCACGAAGACUGGGAUAAUCUCUGGAAACGGGGACUAAUACCGGAUAGGUAAUCGGAAGGCAUCUUCUGAUUAUUAAAGGUUAAAAACACUGGUGGAUUGGCUUAUGGCGCAUUAGUUAGUUGGUGAGGUAACGGCCCACCAAGACGAUGAUGCGUAGCCGGCCUGAGAGGGUGAACGGCCACAUUGGGACUGAGACACGGCCCAGACGCCUACGGGAGGCAGCAGUAGGGAAUUUUCGGCAAUGGGGGAAACCCUGACCGAGCAACGCCGCGUGAGUGAUGACGGCCUUCGGGUUGUAAAGCUCUGUUGUAAGGGAAGAACGGUAGAUAGAGAAUAUCUAAAUGACGGUACCUUACCAGAAAGCCACGGCUAACUACGU
This 485-nucleotide ribosomal RNA is filed under the name uncultured bacterium. RNAcentral describes it as "partial 16S ribosomal RNA". It matches the Rfam family "Bacterial small subunit ribosomal RNA", at positions 28 to 506 of the family's 1533-position model. The record is from RNAcentral.